This 497-nucleotide ribosomal RNA is filed under the name uncultured Glomus. Its description in RNAcentral is "SSU rRNA". It matches the Rfam family "Eukaryotic small subunit ribosomal RNA", at positions 591 to 1092 of the family's 1831-position model. Lineage: Eukaryota; Fungi; Glomeromycota; Glomeromycetes; Glomerales; Glomeraceae. The record is from RNAcentral.
CCAAUAGCGUAUAUUAAAGUUGUUGCAGUUAAAAAGCUCGUAGUUGAAUUUCGGGAUCAGUUUGUUGGUCGUGCUUCGGUACGUACUGUCAUUACUGGUUUCUACCUUCUGAAGAACCUUGAUGUCAUUAAUUUGGUGUCUUGGGGAAUCAGGACUGUUACUUUGAAAAAAUUAGAGUGUUUAAAGCAAGCAUCCGCUUGAAUACAUUAGCAUGGAAUAAUGAAAUAGGACGUUUGAUUCUAUUUUGUUGGUUUCUAGGAUCGACGUAAUGAUUAAUAGGGAUAGUUGGGGGCAUUAGUAUUCAAUUGUCAGAGGUGAAAUUCUUGGAUUUAUUGAAGACUAACUACUGCGAAAGCAUUUGCCAAGGAUGUUUUCAUUAAUCAAGAACGAAAGUUAGGGGAUCGAAGACGAUCAGAUACCGUCGUAGUCUUAACCAUAAACUAUGCCGACUAGGGAUCGGAUGAUGUUAUUUUUAAUGACUCAUUCGGCGCCUUACG